Molecule: transfer RNA, 65 nt
Filed under: Palaemon carinicauda
Lineage: Eukaryota; Metazoa; Arthropoda; Malacostraca; Decapoda; Palaemonidae
Description: tRNA-Asp
Source: RNAcentral
UUAAAAUUAGUUGAAUUAUAACAUAAGCUUGUCAAGCUUAAAUUAUCAGAUCCUAAUAUUUUAAA